CCUACGGGAGGCAGCAGUGGGGAAUAUUGGACAAUGGGGGCAACCCUGAUCCAGCCAUGCCGCGUGUGUGAAGAAGGCCCUCGGGUUGUAAAGCACUUUCAGUGAGGAAGAACGCCUGGUGGUUAAUACCCAUCAGGAAAGACAUCACUCACAGAAGAAGCACCGGCUAACUCCGUGCCAGCAGCCGCGGUAAUACGGAGGGUGCGAGCGUUAAUCGGAAUUACUGGGCGUAAAGCGCGCGUAGGUGGCUUGAUAAGCCGGUUGUGAAAGCCCCCGGGCUCAACCUGGGAACGGCAUCCGGAACUGUCAAGCUAGAGUGCAGGAGAGGAAGGUAGAAUUCCCGGUGUAGCGGUGAAAUGCGUAGAGAUCGGGAGGAAUACCAGUGGCGAAGGCGGCCUUCUGGACUGACACUGACACUGAGGUGCGAAAGCGUGGGUAGCAAACAGGAUUAGAUACCCUUGUAGUC
RNAcentral lists this ribosomal RNA (466 nucleotides) under Vreelandella stevensii. RNAcentral's name for it is "partial 16S ribosomal RNA". It matches the Rfam family "Bacterial small subunit ribosomal RNA", at positions 338 to 795 of the family's 1533-position model. The record is from RNAcentral. Lineage: Bacteria; Pseudomonadati; Pseudomonadota; Gammaproteobacteria; Oceanospirillales; Halomonadaceae.